Xylaria digitata is the source of this 101-nucleotide non-coding RNA. The record is from the annotation of a GenBank genome assembly. Lineage: Eukaryota; Fungi; Ascomycota; Sordariomycetes; Xylariales; Xylariaceae.
GCCCGCUUGGCUAAGUGGUAUAGCGUGUCACUAGUACUAUGAGGCAACUCAUCCAGCUAGAUGCCAUGACAAGAUCAGCGGUUCGAUUCCGCUAGUGGGCA